CAAGACUGAGAAAGGAUGAAAUCUCAGCUCUCCCUCUCUCUGGUCCCCCUUGUCUCCUGAGAGGAAAGGAAUGAUGCUUGAGACACUGGCAGCAGCAGAGGAUCAUGACUGUAGAAAUGUGUCUAUGAGUACAUGUGUGCUCCUCAAAUAGACUUGUGUGCUUAGGGAGAUACUUACUUUGCAUCCUGAAUACUAAAAUGAUGGUGCAGCUGUAUUUGUUGAACACUAGAGGAUUUCAGUUUAAGGAGCAUUUUUCUGUCCGAAAGAACCACAAAUCCUAACAGGAGUCACCA
RNAcentral lists this long non-coding RNA (293 nucleotides) under Homo sapiens (human). Its description in RNAcentral is "HSALNT0048082". Lineage: Eukaryota; Metazoa; Chordata; Mammalia; Primates; Hominidae. The record is from RNAcentral.